Molecule: long non-coding RNA, 1503 nt
Filed under: Homo sapiens (human)
Lineage: Eukaryota; Metazoa; Chordata; Mammalia; Primates; Hominidae
Description: HSALNT0218805
Source: RNAcentral
AAUAGCUGUAUACCUAUUAAAAAAAUUGAACUUGUCACCAAAAUUUUUUUUACAAUGAAGGUAAUUAUUAGAAUUUAAAUGGUAAGAGAACUCCACAAGGUUAUUGCAGACAAGUUGAGUGGAUGAAUUUUGGAAACUGAGCAGGAUUAAAAUGAGUGGUCCCUGGCAAGGAGGCAAUUUUAAUUCAGAAGAUGGAAACCAGCAUAAUAUAGAUCUGUCGUGGCUUCAGCAUCAGGAAACAACACACUGAUCAUGACAUCAAACUCCAGAGGAAGCCGGCUAAGGAUGUGCUUGUUUUGAUGUGACAUGUGCCUGCGAUGAUUAACUCUCAUGCUCCCACAAUCUCUCCAGGGCCCCAGACUUGGUCCUUCCUCGCCUGUAAACAGGAUCAGGAUGCAUCCUGGAGUUCAGCCAAGGGCAUCUGGCCUUGGGUAAGACAGACUCCACAAAACACAUACAUUGUUCCUGGCAAGGGAACCACGAGGGAAGGAAAAGGAGAGAAGGAAGGCAGCAUGGGACACUGACAUCCAUCCACGUAUGACAAAUCACAUCAGAUGCAACUGAGCACAUGCAACUCAGAGGGAAAAGACAGGAAUAGGCCCAUGGAACACAUUCACCUUCUACAUGAUCAACAGCUUCGGGAAAGCAAUACAGCCAAGUGCCAAGUGAGAAAAAGGGAAAAGCAUGUAAAAUGAAUGAAAUGUUGACUGCAAUGGAAGACAUUUUAGACUGUUCUUGUUACAUAACAAAGAGAGGGAGGAAACCAUGCUGGGAGGAGACAUUGGGAGAGACCUGCCAACAGACCUCCAAAUGCAUAUUCAAAUGGUGUUUCAAAGCACUUCUUUGGGCUUAAGUCUUUUUACCUAUAAGAUGGAUUUUAAUGUUUCCAUUAAAAAUGGAAACUGUAUUGAUUAGGUAUAUGUUUUUAAAUUUUAUUAUUAACAGAAACAAGGUUUUGUUCCAAUACCCAGGGUGGAGUCCAGUGGCACAAUCACAGCUCACUGCAGCCUCAAACUUCUAGACUCAAGACAUCAUCCCGUCUCAGCCUCCUGAGUAGCUGGGACUACAGGUGUGUGCCACCAUGCCAGACUAGUUUUUUAAAAAAAUUCUGUAGAGAUGGAGCCUUGAUAACUUGUGCAGGCUGAUCUCAAACUCCUGGCCUCAAGUGAUCUUCCUGCUUUGCCCUCCCAAAGCACUGAGAUUAUAGGCCUGAGCCACCAUGCCUGCUUAAUUAUCUUUUUCCAAGGCACUGGCCAGGCCACUUUGUAAAAAAGAAAAAAAAAAGUAGGUCAGUAUAUUAACAGACAUUGUAGGUCAGUCUUGCUUUAAAAAAUUAUACUUCUAAAAGAAGAAAAUUAUUGUCAUCCUGGAAAUUGGUUCCAGAAGAAAAGGGAGAGAAGUUAUGGGGGCAAAUGACAAUUGCCAGAGGCAAGGUGAUGUCCCAUUUAUGUCGGAGAAUGAAAUAUUUGUACUGUGCAAUAACAGCCAAAAAUUCAAUUGGAA